RNAcentral lists this ribosomal RNA (263 nucleotides) under uncultured bacterium. Its description in RNAcentral is "partial 16S ribosomal RNA". It matches the Rfam family "Bacterial small subunit ribosomal RNA", at positions 524 to 784 of the family's 1533-position model. The record is from RNAcentral.
UACGUAGGGUGCGAAGCGUUGUCCGGAAUUAUUGGGCGUAAAGAGCUCGUAGGCGGUCUGUCGCGUCUGCGUGUGAAAACUUGGGGCUUAACCCUGAGCUUGCGGUCGAUACGGGCAUGACUGGAGUUCGGCAGGGGAGACUGGAAUUCUGGUGUAGCGGUGAAAUGCGCAGAUAUCGAGAGGAACACCCGUAGCGAAGGCGGCACGUCUGGGCCGGAACUGACGCUGAGGAGCGAAAGCGUGGGAGCAAACAGGAUUGAGAA